This 253-nucleotide ribosomal RNA is filed under the name uncultured bacterium. Its description in RNAcentral is "partial 16S ribosomal RNA". It matches the Rfam family "Bacterial small subunit ribosomal RNA", at positions 524 to 776 of the family's 1533-position model. The record is from RNAcentral.
UACGAAGGGGGCGAGCGUUGUUCGGAUUUACUGGGCGUAAAGGGCGCGUAGGCGGCGGGUCAAGUCGAGUGUGAAAGCCCCGGGCUCAACCUGGGAAUUGCGCUCGAGACUGGUCUGCUUGAGUUCGGGAGAGGAGAGUGGAAUUCCUGGUGUAGCGGUGAAAUGCGCAGAUAUCAGGAGGAACACCAAUGGCGAAGGCAGCUCGCUGGGACGGUACUGACGCUGAGACGCGAAAGCGUGGGGAGCAAACAGG